Molecule: ribosomal RNA, 253 nt
Filed under: uncultured bacterium
Lineage: Bacteria
Description: partial 16S ribosomal RNA
Rfam family: Bacterial small subunit ribosomal RNA
Source: RNAcentral
UACGGAGGGUGCGAGCGUUGAUCGGAAUUACUGGGCGUAAAGCGUGCGCAGGCGGCUUGUUAAGUCAGGUGUGAAAGCCUCCGGCUUAACCGAGGAAGUGCGUUUGGAACUGCGAUGCUCGAGUGUAGGAGAGGGGAGCGGAAUUCCCGGUGUAGAGGUGAAAUUCGUAGAUAUCGGGAGGAAUACCGGUGGCGAAGGCAGCUCUCUGGGCUAAUACUGACGCUGAGGCGCGAAAGCGUGGGGAGCAAACAGG